GACGAACGCUGGCGGCAUGCCUAACACAUGCAAGUCGAACGAGACCUUCGGGUCUAGUGGCGCACGGGUGCGUAACGCGUGGGAACCUGCCCUUAGGUUCGGAAUAACUCCCCGAAAGGGGUGCUAAUACCGGAUAAUGUCUUCGGACCAAAGAUUUAUCGCCUUUGGAUGGGCCCGCGUUGGAUUAGCUAGUUGGUAGGGUAAAAGCCUACCAAGGCGACGAUCCAUAGCUGGGCUGAGAGGAUGAUCAGCCACACUGGGACUGAGACACGGCCCAGACUCCUACGGGAGGCAGCAGUGGGGAAUAUUGGACAAUGGGCGAAAGCCUGAUCCAGCAAUGCCGCGUGAGUGAUGAAGGCCUUAGGGUUGUAAAGCUCUUUUACCCGGGAUGAUAAUGACAGUACCGGGAGAAUAAGCACCGGCUAACUCCGUG
Molecule: ribosomal RNA, 433 nt
Filed under: uncultured bacterium
Lineage: Bacteria
Description: partial 16S ribosomal RNA
Rfam family: Bacterial small subunit ribosomal RNA
Source: RNAcentral